Molecule: long non-coding RNA, 316 nt
Filed under: Homo sapiens (human)
Lineage: Eukaryota; Metazoa; Chordata; Mammalia; Primates; Hominidae
Description: non-protein coding lnc-TMED6-1:1
Source: RNAcentral
GUGGCUCGGAACUGCAGCCCAAGAACAAGCGCAUGACAAUAAGCAGAUUGGUCUUGGAGGAGGACAGCCAGAGUACUGAGCCCAGCGCAGGCCUCAACUCCUCCCAGGAGGCCGCUUCAGCGCCACCAUCCAAGCCCACCGUUCUCAACCAACCCCUCCCUGGAGAGAAGAAUCCCAAAGUACCCAAAGGCAAGUGGAACAGCUCUAAUGGGGUUGAAGAAAAGGAGACUUGGGUGGAAGAGGAUGAACUGUUUCAAGUUCAGGGUAAGCAGAAGAUUCUCCUUGGCCUCUUCUUGAUGCUUGCUGAAGUACAGAU